CUACGGGAGGCAGCAGUGGGGAAUUUUGGACAAUGGGCGCAAGCCUGAUCCAGCAAUGCCGCGUGUGUGAAGAAGGCCUUCGGGUUGUAAAGCACUUUUGUCCGGAAAGAAAGUAAACCUGGCUAAUAUCCGGGGUGGAUGAC
This 143-nucleotide ribosomal RNA is filed under the name uncultured Burkholderia sp. RNAcentral describes it as "partial 16S ribosomal RNA". It matches the Rfam family "Bacterial small subunit ribosomal RNA", at positions 339 to 492 of the family's 1533-position model. Lineage: Bacteria; Pseudomonadati; Pseudomonadota; Betaproteobacteria; Burkholderiales; Burkholderiaceae. The record is from RNAcentral.